CGGGGUGUAGCGCAGCCUGGUAGCGCAUCUGCUUUGGGAGCAGGAAGUCGGCGGUUCGAAUCCGUCCACCCCGA
This 74-nucleotide transfer RNA is filed under the name Candidatus Endolissoclinum faulkneri L5. RNAcentral's name for it is "tRNA-Pro (TGG) (tRNA-Pro-TGG-1-1)". It matches the Rfam family "tRNA". From Rfam's summary of the family: Transfer RNA (tRNA) molecules are approximately 80 nucleotides in length. The record is from Rfam by way of RNAcentral. Lineage: Bacteria; Pseudomonadati; Pseudomonadota; Alphaproteobacteria; Rhodospirillales; Rhodospirillaceae.